UCGUGCUACUAGAUGGGCCUAUAUUGGAUUAGCUAGUUGGUAAGGUAAAGGCUUACCAAGGCGACGAUCCAUAGCUGGUUUGAGAGAAUGAUCAGCCACACUGGGACUGAGACACGGCCCAG
Molecule: ribosomal RNA, 122 nt
Filed under: uncultured bacterium
Lineage: Bacteria
Description: partial 16S ribosomal RNA
Rfam family: Bacterial small subunit ribosomal RNA
Source: RNAcentral